Molecule: ribosomal RNA, 468 nt
Filed under: uncultured bacterium
Lineage: Bacteria
Description: partial 16S ribosomal RNA
Rfam family: Bacterial small subunit ribosomal RNA
Source: RNAcentral
GACGAACGCUGGCGGCGUGCUUAACACAUGCAAGUCGAACGGAAAGGCCCUGCUUUUGUGGGUUGCUCGAGUGGCGAACGGGUGAGUAACACGUGAGUAACCUGCCCUUUACUUUGGGAUAACUUCAGGAAACUGGGGCUAAUACCGGAUAGGAGCUCCUGCUGCAUGGUGGGGGUUGGAAAGUUUCGGCGGUUGGGGAUGGACUCGCGGCUUAUCAGCUUGUUGGGGGGGUAGUGGCUUACCAAGGCUUUGACGGGUAGCCGGGCUGAGAGGGUGACCGGGCACAUUGGGACUGAGAGACGGCGCAGACUCCUACGGGAGGCAGCAGUGGGGAAUAUUGCAGAAUGGGCGGAAGCCUGAUGCAGAAACGCCGCGUGCGGGAUGACGGCCUUCGGGUUGUAAACCGCGUUCGCCUGUGACGAAGCGUGAGUGACGGUAAUGGGUAAAGAAGCACCGGCUAACUACGUG